CCUACGGGAGGCAGCAGUGGGGAAUAUUGGACAAUGGGCGAAAGCCUGAUCCAGCAAUGCCGCGUGAGUGAUGAAGGCCUUAGGGUUGUAAAGCUCUUUUACCCGGGAUGAUAAUGACAGUACCGGGAGAAUAAGCUCCGGCUAACUCCGUGCCAGCAGCCGCGGUAAUACGGAGGGAGCUAGCGUUGUUCGGAAUUACUGGGCGUAAAGCGCACGUAGGCGGCUACUCAAGUCAGAGGUGAAAGCCCAGGGCUCAACCCUGGAACUGCCUUUGAAACUAGGUAGCUAGAAUCUUGGAGAGGUCAGUGGAAUUCCGAGUGUAGAGGUGAAAUUCGUAGAUAUUCGGAAGAACACCAGUGGCGAAGGCGACUGACUGGACAAGUAUUGACGCUGAGGCGCGAAAGCGUGGGGAGCAAACAGGAUUAGAUACCCUGGUAGUCCACGCCGUAAACGAUGAUAACUAGCUGUUCGGGUACUUGGUAUCUGAGUGGCGCAGCUAACGCAUUAAGUUAUCCGCCUGGGGAGUACGGUCGCAAGAUUAAAACUCAAAGGAAUUGACGG
RNAcentral lists this ribosomal RNA (561 nucleotides) under uncultured bacterium. RNAcentral describes it as "bacterial SSU rRNA". It matches the Rfam family "Bacterial small subunit ribosomal RNA", at positions 338 to 916 of the family's 1533-position model. The record is from RNAcentral.